GCCUGAUGCAGCAACGCCGCGUGAGGGAUGACGGCCUUCGGGUUGUAAACCUCUUUUAGCAAGGAAGAAGCGAAAGUGACGGUACUUGCAGAAAAAGCGCCGGCUAACUACGUGCCAGCAGCCGCGGUAAUACGUAGGGCGCAAGCGUUAUCCGGAAUUAUUGGGCGUAAAGAGCUCGUAGGCGGUUUGUCGCGUCUGCUGUGAAAACUGGAGGCUCAACCUCCAGCCUGCAGUGGGUACGGGCAGACUAGAGUGCGGUAGGGGAGAUUGGAAUUCCUGGUGUAGCGGUGGAAUGCGCAGAUAUCAGGAGGAACACCGAUGGCGAAGGCAGAUCUCUGGGCCGUAACUGACGCUGAGGAGCGAAAGGGUGGGGAGCAAACAGGCUUAGAUACCCUGGUAGUCCACCCCGUAAACGUUGGGAACUAGUUGUGGGGACCAUUCCACGGUUUCCGUGACGCAGCUAACGCAUUAAGUUCCCCGCCUGGGGAGUACGGCCGCAAGGCUAAAACUCAAAGGAAUUGACGGGGACCCGCACAAGCGGCGGAGCAUGCGGAUUAAUUCGAUGCAACGCGAAGAACCUUACCAAGGCUUGACAUAUACGAGAACGCUGCAGAAAUGUAGAACUCUUUGGA
RNAcentral lists this ribosomal RNA (632 nucleotides) under Microbacterium sp. Ri1Ps_4765. RNAcentral's name for it is "bacterial SSU rRNA". It matches the Rfam family "Bacterial small subunit ribosomal RNA", at positions 381 to 1022 of the family's 1533-position model. The record is from RNAcentral. Lineage: Bacteria; Bacillati; Actinomycetota; Actinomycetes; Micrococcales; Microbacteriaceae.